CAUCCCUUCAGUCUGGGUUUUCCAGGAAACACAACUCUGGCAACCUCCAGAUUCACAUCUUGAUCACUUCCCACUUGGGCACCAGAAAGAAGAGGAUACUUCCCUGCUGGCGGUAGGAAGUGGUGCAUGUUUCCAUGGUGUAAAUGCUGCCACCCGACCCAGCUUCAGGUCACCACCACCCGGAGGUCAUCAAUGGAGCGCAGGGAAGAGGUGCUGUCCGGAGCCUGGCUGAGCAGGUGUCAGGAAGACCCUAGAGUACCAGAUGAAGAAUGAG
RNAcentral lists this long non-coding RNA (274 nucleotides) under Capra hircus (goat). Its description in RNAcentral is "lncRNA (ENSCHIG00000000902.1)". The record is from RNAcentral. Lineage: Eukaryota; Metazoa; Chordata; Mammalia; Artiodactyla; Bovidae.